This 253-nucleotide ribosomal RNA is filed under the name uncultured bacterium. Its description in RNAcentral is "partial 16S ribosomal RNA". It matches the Rfam family "Bacterial small subunit ribosomal RNA", at positions 524 to 776 of the family's 1533-position model. The record is from RNAcentral.
UACGAAGGGGGCUAGCGUUGCUCGGAAUUACUGGGCGUAAAGCGCACGUAGGCGGCUUUCUAAGUCGGGGGUGAAAUCCUGGAGCUCAACUCCAGAACUGCCUUCGAUACUGGAGAGCUCGAGUCCGGAAGAGGUGAGUGGAACUGCGAGUGUAGAGGUGAAAUUCGUAGAUAUUCGCAAGAACACCAGUGGCGAAGGCGGCUCACUGGCCCGGUACUGACGCUGAGGUGCGAAAGCGUGGGGAGCAAACAGG